Molecule: ribosomal RNA, 305 nt
Filed under: uncultured bacterium
Lineage: Bacteria
Description: bacterial SSU rRNA
Rfam family: Bacterial small subunit ribosomal RNA
Source: RNAcentral
UUCUUCCUACGGGACGCAGCAGUAGGGAAUCUUUCACAAUGGGCGAAAGCCUGAUGGAGCAACGCCGCGUGCAGGAUGAAGGCCUUCGGGUUGUAAACUGCUUUUAUAAGCGAGAAAUAUGAUGGUAACUUAUGAAUAAGGAUCGGCUAACUACGUGCCAGCAGCCGCGGUAAUACGUAGGGGGCAAGCGUUAUCCGGAUUUACUGGGUGUAAAGGGAGCGUAGACGGCGAUGCAAGUCUGAAGUGAAAGCCCGGGGCUCAACCCCGGGACUGCUUUGGAAACUGUAUGGCUGGAGUGCUGGAGG